UUUAGAGUUUGGAUCCUGGCUCAGGACGAACGCUGGCGGCGUGCCUAAUACAUGCAAGUCGAGCGGACAGAUGGGAGCUUGCUCCCUGAUGUUAGCGGCGGACGGGUGAGUAACACGUGGGUAACCUGCCUGUAAGACUGGGAUAACUCCGGGAAACCGGGGCUAAUACCGGAUGGUUGUUUGAACCGCAUGGUUCAAACAUAAAAGGUGGCUUCGGCUACCACUUACAGAUGGACCCGCGGCGCAUUAGCUAGUUGGUGAGGUAACGGCUCACCAAGGCAACGAUGCGUAGCCGACCUGAGAGGGUGAUCGGCCACACUGGGACUGAGACACGGCCCAGACUCCUACGGGAGGCAGCAGUAGGGAAUCUUCCGCAAUGGACGAAAGUCUGACGGAGCAACGCCGCGUGAGUGAUGAAGGUUUUCGGAUCGUAAAGCUCUGUUGUUAGGGAAGAACAAGUACCGUUCGAAUAGGGCGGUACCUUGACGGUACCUAACCAGAAAGCCACGGCUAACUACGUGCCAGCAGCCGCGGUAAUACGUAGGUGGCAAGCGUUGUCCGGAAUUAUUGGGCGUAAAGGGCUCGCAGGCGGUUUCUUAAGUCUGAUGUGAAAGCCCCCGGCUCAACCGGGGAGGGUCAUUGGAAACUGGGGAACUUGAGGUGCAGAAGAGAGAGU
RNAcentral lists this ribosomal RNA (676 nucleotides) under Bacillus subtilis. RNAcentral describes it as "bacterial SSU rRNA". It matches the Rfam family "Bacterial small subunit ribosomal RNA", at positions 1 to 662 of the family's 1533-position model. The record is from RNAcentral. Lineage: Bacteria; Bacillati; Bacillota; Bacilli; Caryophanales; Bacillaceae.